RNAcentral lists this ribosomal RNA (1320 nucleotides) under Pediococcus pentosaceus. Its description in RNAcentral is "bacterial SSU rRNA". It matches the Rfam family "Bacterial small subunit ribosomal RNA", at positions 82 to 1390 of the family's 1533-position model. Lineage: Bacteria; Bacillati; Bacillota; Bacilli; Lactobacillales; Lactobacillaceae. The record is from RNAcentral.
UAACACGAAGUGAGUGGCGAACGGGUGAGUAACACGUGGGUAACCUGCCCAGAAGUAGGGGAUAACACCUGGAAACAGAUGCUAAUACCGUAUAACAGAGAAAACCGCAUGGUUUUCUUUUAAAAGAUGGCUCUGCUAUCACUUCUGGAUGGACCCGCGGCGUAUUAGCUAGUUGGUGAGGUAAAGGCUCACCAAGGCAGUGAUACGUAGCCGACCUGAGAGGGUAAUCGGCCACAUUGGGACUGAGACACGGCCCAGACUCCUACGGGAGGCAGCAGUAGGGAAUCUUCCACAAUGGACGCAAGUCUGAUGGAGCAACGCCGCGUGAGUGAAGAAGGGUUUCGGCUCGUAAAGCUCUGUUGUUAAAGAAGAACGUGGGUAAGAGUAACUGUUUACCCAGUGACGGUAUUUAACCAGAAAGCCACGGCUAACUACGUGCCAGCAGCCGCGGUAAUACGUAGGUGGCAAGCGUUAUCCGGAUUUAUUGGGCGUAAAGCGAGCGCAGGCGGUCUUUUAAGUCUAAUGUGAAAGCCUUCGGCUCAACCGAAGAAGUGCAUUGGAAACUGGGAGACUUGAGUGCAGAAGAGGACAGUGGAACUCCAUGUGUAGCGGUGAAAUGCGUAGAUAUAUGGAAGAACACCAGUGGCGAAGGCGGCUGUCUGGUCUGCAACUGACGCUGAGGCUCGAAAGCAUGGGUAGCGAACAGGAUUAGAUACCCUGGUAGUCCAUGCCGUAAACGAUGAUUACUAAGUGUUGGAGGGUUUCCGCCCUUCAGUGCUGCAGCUAACGCAUUAAGUAAUCCGCCUGGGGAGUACGACCGCAAGGUUGAAACUCAAAAGAAUUGACGGGGGCCCGCACAAGCGGUGGAGCAUGUGGUUUAAUUCGAAGCUACGCGAAGAACCUUACCAGGUCUUGACAUCUUCUGACAGUCUAAGAGAUUAGAGGUUCCCUUCGGGGACAGAAUGACAGGUGGUGCAUGGUUGUCGUCAGCUCGUGUCGUGAGAUGUUGGGUUAAGUCCCGCAACGAGCGCAACCCUUAUUACUAGUUGCCAGCAUUAAGUUGGGCACUCUAGUGAGACUGCCGGUGACAAACCGGAGGAAGGUGGGGACGACGUCAAAUCAUCAUGCCCCUUAUGACCUGGGCUACACACGUGCUACAAUGGAUGGUACAACGAGUCGCGAGACCGCGAGGUUAAGCUAAUCUCUUAAAACCAUUCUCAGUUCGGACUGUAGGCUGCAACUCGCCUACACGAAGUCGGAAUCGCUAGUAAUCGCGGAUCAGCAUGCCGCGGUGAAUACGUUCCCGGGCCUUGUACACAC